Molecule: ribosomal RNA, 434 nt
Filed under: uncultured bacterium
Lineage: Bacteria
Description: partial 16S ribosomal RNA
Rfam family: Bacterial small subunit ribosomal RNA
Source: RNAcentral
AGCGAACGCUGGCGGCAGGCCUAACACAUGCAAGUCGAACGAACCUUUCGGGGUUAGUGGCGGACGGGUGAGUAACACGUGGGAACGUGCCUUUAGGUUCGGAAUAACUCAGGGAAACUUGUGCUAAUACCGAAUGUGCCCUUCGGGGGAAAGAUUUAUCGCCUUUAGAGCGGCCCGCGUCUGAUUAGCUAGUUGGUUGAGGUAAUGGCUCACCAAGGCGACGAUCAGUAGCUGGUCUGAGAGGAUGAUCAGCCACAUUGGGACUGAGACACGGCCCAAACUCCUACGGGAGGCAGCAGUGGGGAAUCUUGCGCAAUGGGCGAAAGCCUGACGCAGCCAUGCCGCGUGAAUGAUGAAGGUCUUAUGAUUGUAAAAUUCUUUCACCGGGGACGAUAAUGACGGUACCCGGAGAAGAAGCCCCGGCUAACUUCGUG